RNAcentral lists this ribosomal RNA (492 nucleotides) under Ophiocten megaloplax. RNAcentral's name for it is "partial 16S ribosomal RNA". It matches the Rfam family "Bacterial large subunit ribosomal RNA", at positions 1816 to 2597 of the family's 2925-position model. Lineage: Eukaryota; Metazoa; Echinodermata; Ophiuroidea; Amphilepidida; Ophiuridae. The record is from RNAcentral.
CGCCCCCGGCUUUAUAAUCGUGGGGUCCUGCCUGCCCGGUGAUCUUUUGAUUAAACGGCUGCGGUACUCUGACCGUGCAAAGGUAGCAUAAUCAUUUGCCUGUUAAUUCCAGGCUGGAAUCAAUGGCUAGACGAAGAAAAUUCUGUCUCUUUUCGUAAAUUUAGAAUUUAGUAUUUUGGUGAAGAAACCAAAAUGUGAUAGUGGGACGAGAAGACCCUAUUGAGCUUUAAUCCUUUUCUUAUUACAAAAAUUAGUCAAGAAUUUUAGUUGGGGCAACUUAUUUUUUAUUAAGACAAAAUAUUUGUAAAUUAUUUAAAUAUAUAAAUGAUCCACAAUAGUUGUGAUAAAAAGAAAAAGUUACCAUAGGGAUAACAGCGUAAUUUUCUUCGAGAGUACUUAUUGACAAGAAAGUUUGCGACCUCGAUGUUGGAUCAAGAUUUCCUGAAGGUGCAGCCGUUUUCGAGGGUAGGUUUGUUCAACCUAUAAAAUCUU